UGCCAGCAGCCGCGGUAAUACGGGGGGUGCAAGCGUUAAUCGGAGUUAUUGGGCGUAAAGGGCGCGUAGGCGGCGCGAUACGGUCUGGGUGAAAUCCCUCGGCUCAACCGAGGAAUUGCCUGGGCAACGGUCGUGCUAGACAGCAUCAGGGGAAGGUGGAACUCGCGGUGGAGCGGUGAAAUGCGUAGAUAUCGCGAGGAACGCCGGUGGCGAAAGCGACCUUCUGGGGUGCUUGUGACGCUGAGGCGCGAAAGCUAGGGGAGCGAACGGGAUUAGAUA
Molecule: ribosomal RNA, 279 nt
Filed under: uncultured bacterium
Lineage: Bacteria
Description: partial 16S ribosomal RNA
Rfam family: Bacterial small subunit ribosomal RNA
Source: RNAcentral